RNAcentral lists this unclassified non-coding RNA (279 nucleotides) under Hevea brasiliensis (rubber tree). The record is from RNAcentral. Lineage: Eukaryota; Viridiplantae; Streptophyta; Magnoliopsida; Malpighiales; Euphorbiaceae.
AAAUUACUUGACGAGUUCAAUCAAUGUUUCAAGAUGGUGACUUUGGAAAGUGAUACGGGUGAGGUAUGUAUAUUAAAUCAUUUCUAUUAUUUGAAUCUUUUUUUACGUAUACUUUGAGUUAGUUCACAAUUAAUACUUUGAAUUAGUUCACAAUUAAUACACUCAUGGAAUUAGUAUGUAAAUUCUAGCUGAUAUUUAUGUGAUGAAUUAUUCAUCUUUUCAGAAUUAUAUUAUUCCUUGCGAAGUGAGAAAACUCACACCACCCCCAUUGCAUAACGU